UACGGAGGGUGCAAGCGUUAAUCGGAAUUACUGGGCGUAAAGCGCGCGUAGGCGGUUUGGUAAGUCGGAUGUGAAAGCCCUGGGCUCAACCUGGGAAUUGCAUUCGAUACUGCCUGACUAGAGUAUGGUAGAGGGAAGUGGAAUUUCCGGUGUAGCGGUGAAAUGCGUAGAUAUCGGAAGGAACACCAGUGGCGAAGGCGACUUCCUGGGCCAAUACUGACGCUGAGGCGCGAAAGCGUGGGUAGCAAACAGG
Molecule: ribosomal RNA, 253 nt
Filed under: uncultured Sinobacteraceae bacterium
Lineage: Bacteria; Pseudomonadati; Pseudomonadota; Gammaproteobacteria; Nevskiales; Nevskiaceae
Description: partial 16S ribosomal RNA
Rfam family: Bacterial small subunit ribosomal RNA
Source: RNAcentral